GGGUCUGUAGUCUAGCUUGGAUAGGACAGGGGCCUCCGGAGCCUCUAACUCGGGUUCAAAUCCCGGCAGAUCCG
RNAcentral lists this transfer RNA (74 nucleotides) under Promethearchaeota archaeon. Its description in RNAcentral is "Candidatus Lokiarchaeota archaeon (microbial mat metagenome) tRNA-Arg". It matches the Rfam family "tRNA". Rfam says of the family: Transfer RNA (tRNA) molecules are approximately 80 nucleotides in length. Their secondary structure includes four short double-helical elements and three loops (D, anti-codon, and T loops). Lineage: Archaea; Promethearchaeati; Promethearchaeota. The record is from RNAcentral.